Molecule: ribosomal RNA, 467 nt
Filed under: uncultured bacterium
Lineage: Bacteria
Description: bacterial SSU rRNA
Rfam family: Bacterial small subunit ribosomal RNA
Source: RNAcentral
GGACCCGCACAAGCGGUGGAGCAUGUUGCUUAAUUCGACGCAACGCGAAGAACCUUACCGGGGCUUGAAGUGCACAUGAAGGGCGCAGAGACGCGUUCCGCUCUUCGGAGCGUGUGCAUUAGGUGCUGCACGGCUGUCGUCAGCUCGUGUCGUGAGAUGUUGGGUUAAGUCCUGUAACGAGCGCAACCCCUAUCCACAGUUGCCAUCAGGUAAAGCUGGGAACUCUGCGGAGACUGCCGGUGAUAAACCGGAGGAAGGUGGGGAUGACGUCAAGUCAUCGUGGCCCUUACGUCCCGGGCUGCAAACGUGCUACAAUGGUCGGUACAAAGGGAAGCGAUACCGCGAGGUGGAGCAAAUCCCAAAAAACCGGUCUCAGUUCGGAUUGUAGUCUGCAACUCGACUGCAUGAAGUUGGAAUCGCUAGUAAUCGCGGAUCAGCAUGCCGCGGUGAAUACGUUCCCGGGUCUU